CAUUAACGAGUUAGGGUCUCUCUGGCCCGACCUCCCAACCCUUUGUCUACUUGACCAUCGUUGCUUCGGCGAGCCCGUCCUCACGGACCGCCGGAGGGAUCUUUACUGGCCCUCUGGUCCGCGCUCGUCGGUAGCCCAACCUUUAAAAUCUUUAACUAAACGUGCCUUAAUCUAAGUACAAUUAUUAAAUAAAAGCAAAACUUUCAACAACGGAUCUCUUGGUUCUGGCAUCGAUGAAGAACGCAGCGAAAUGCGAUAAGUAAUGCGAAUUGCAGAAUUCCAGUGAGUCAUCGAAUCUUUGAACGCACAUUGCGCCCUUUGGUAUUCCGAAGGGCAUGCCUGUUCGAGCGUCAUUAUCACCCCUCAAGCCCUCGGCUUGGUGUUGGACGGUUUGGUGGAGGCCCCCUCGGGGGUUCCUGCCCCUCCCAAAGACAAUGACGGCGGCCUCGUUGGACCCCCGGUACACUGAGUUCUUCACGGGACACGUAUCGGACACAUGGGUUUACGGGACACGGUCUGCCUCCCCUCAGGGAGAAUCUUUCUAAGGUUGACCUCGGAUCAGGUAGGGAUACCCGCUGAACUUAAGCAUAUCAAUAAGCGGAGGAAAAGAAACCAACAGGGAUUGCCUCAGUAACGGCGAGUGAAGCGGCAACAGCUCAAUUUGAAAUCUGGCCUCUUUGGGGUCCGAGU
This 690-nucleotide ribosomal RNA is filed under the name fungal sp. RNAcentral's name for it is "eukaryotic LSU rRNA". The stretch from base 199 to 353 matches the Rfam family "5.8S ribosomal RNA". The record is from RNAcentral. Lineage: Eukaryota; Fungi.